RNA transcript from Fragaria vesca subsp. vesca, 1872 nucleotides. RefSeq lists it as uncharacterized. The transcript is spliced from 3 exons. NCBI's taxonomy places the organism in Eukaryota, Viridiplantae, Streptophyta, Magnoliopsida, Rosales, Rosaceae. The record is from RefSeq and is a predicted model, not a curated record.
GUGCAGCACAUCCAAUGGUGCGAUAUGUGGAAGUACAACUCUUCAUGGAGAUUAACCAGGAAUCCAGGAUUCAUACGUGAUUUUGAAAUUGUCUGUUUUUCUUCUCUUCAUAGUUACUUCAUUAUUUGUGUAAAUAUGUUUGCUGGGGAUCUGUAUACGUAAUGUAUAUAUAACUAUAUAUUGUUGGAUAUCUGUAUAUGUAAUAUGUAUGUAAUCGCAUAUGCAUACCGAGCAAAACCAAGAAAAGGAUCGAAGCCAAGAAGAGGAUCCAUGAAUUUCUGCUCCCAGUUUUGUUUAUUGGGUUGGACCGAGGAACAUAAUAACCUCUGAACUACAAGUAAGCUCAGGACCUCUGGUUACUAGACACACAAAGGGCAGAGUUUCGUCUAUAGAGGCAAGGAAGCUAGAGGCGAUUAAUACUGGAAUAUGUGUAAUUACAUAUCGGCAACAAAGCCGAGGGAAGAUCUAUCGGCCUCUACUGCCAGGCUUGACCAGAAGCCAUUGGUUUUUGCAGGUUCAGCUUCAUUAAAUUACAGAAAGUUGAAGGGAAAGAGCUUCUCUUUGAAGUGUUGCUGCAAGCAACCAAGAGAGGGAGUGACAGGUGCUUUUUAGGUGAAUUCUCUUACCGCUUAAUGCGGGGAUUACUACGCUUGACGUGGGGUGUAGGGAUAAGCAAGUAGGGAUUGUGUCUCCCUUGGGUGAAAGGCCCUAAAUCUGAUUGGGGCUCGUGGUGUAUGAGCGGAUAAUUAAGUAGGGAUUGUGCCUUCCUAGGGUGAAAAGCCCAGAACCCAAUCAGGAUGCCGCGGUGUGCGGCGGAUUACCGCUGUGAGCGGGGUUUACGGCCUAGUGCCGGGUUUUACCGCGGAUUGCGGGGUUUACCACCAAGUGUGGGGUUUACGGCCAAGUGCCGGGUUUUACUGUUAGAGUGCAGGGUUACCACCGAGUGUGGAGUUUACUGUUGCGUACGGAGAUUUACGGCUGAGUACCGAUGAUAUGGCUGUAUGUGGGAGAUCUGUUGCGUACGGAGAUUUACGGCUGAGUACCGAUGAUAUCGCUGUAUGUGGGAGAUCUGUUGCGGAGAUUUACGGCUGAGAGCCGGGGAUUACCAAUGUGUGCGGUGAAUUAUUGAUGUGUGCAGUGGAUUUCCACAUGUGCAGGUAUUGUCAUUACGGUUUUAUGCAAGUGUUAUUUUUUUUUUUGUAACGUGUUCUUGAUGAAAUCUAGAAAUUAAACCCAAAAAGGACACCUAACGAAGAAAAAGAAGAAUGGAAAGAAAUGAAACUAAAAUUUGUGACAAUGGUCUAUUUGAUUGGUAAGACCAUGAAUAUGGUCAGUUCUCAGUGGAACUAUGGAUGCUAAGACUAGGUACGGUAUUCGUCCAAAAAAAAGACUAGGUACGGUCUAGCUGUCUUACAUAUGCAUGGUUUUCAAUUCAGUUUGCUCAAGUCACUGAGCAGGUGCUGGAAAGUUGCUCAGGUUUGAUAGACAUAUACGGUGAUGAAUCAAUAAGUGAAAACAAAGAUUUUGAUGAUUUUGAUGUUUAACGAGUUUCUAAGGAAUAGAGUGAACUAAUGGUGGAUGAAUGUUGCAAAAGGAUAAUCUAUGCCUUCAGUGUUAAUUUGAUGAUCCACAUUGCUUUUAUUAUGAGGAUUCUCCAAAUUUUCUAAUUAAAUCUGACCAUUCAUGUCAGAAAGCGGUAAGAAUAAAAGGAACCAGAGUAUGAAUGGCAUUAUUACAUUUUUGUGCAAUGUGGUAAUUUUAGUCACAAAGGAUUGACUAAUUAGGCAAAUGAACAAAUGCUUAAAUCUGGAUUACACUGACAAUACCAGAUCAAACUUCCAAAGUAUAUGUCAUAGAUUGUGUUAGGUCUCA